CGGUGUUUAACUGGCGUGAUGUGGGACGUCCUACCGGUGGGCUUAGCCUCGCGAGGGGCGGCCCAACUAAUAUCCCGUCGCGGUGCUCUUUACUGAGUGUCGAGUCGGGCCGGUACGUUUACUUUGAACAAAUUAGAGUGCUUAAAGCAGGCUAUCCUCGCCUGAAUACUGCGUGCAUGGAAUAAUGGAAUAGGACCUCGGUUCUAUUUUGUUGGUUUUCGGAACCCCGAGGUAAUGAUUAAUAGGGACAGAUGGGGGCAUCCGUAUUGCGACGUUAGAGGUGAAAUUCUUGGAUCGUCGCAAGACGGACAGAAGCGAAAGCAUUUGCCAAAAAUGUUUUCAUUAAUCAAGAACGAAAGUUAGAGGUUCGAAGGCGAUCAGAUACCGCCCUAGUUCUAACCAUAAACGAUGCCAGCUAGCGAUCCGCCGAAGUUCCUCCGAUGACUCGGCGGGCAGCUUCCGGGAAACCAAAGCUUUUGGGUUCCGGGGGAAGUAUGGUUGCAAAGCUGAAACUUAAAGGAAUUGACGGAAGGGCACCACCAGGAGUGGAGCCUGCGGCUUAAUUUGACUCAACACGGGAAACCUCACCAGGCCCAGACACCGGAAGGAUUGACAGAUUGAUAGCUCUUUCUUGAUUCGGUGGGUGGUGGUGCAUGGCCGUUCUUAGUUGGUGGAGCGAUUUGUCUGGUUAAUUCCGAUAACGAACGAGACUCUAGCCUGCUAAAUAGGCGUACCUUAUGGUAUCGCGAAGGCCCCCGGCUUCGGCCGGUGGGUUUUUACUACCAACGUACAAACAAAUCUUCUUAGAGGGCACAGGCGG
RNAcentral lists this ribosomal RNA (820 nucleotides) under uncultured eukaryote. RNAcentral's name for it is "SSU rRNA". It matches the Rfam family "Eukaryotic small subunit ribosomal RNA", at positions 629 to 1427 of the family's 1831-position model. The record is from RNAcentral.